This 257-nucleotide long non-coding RNA is filed under the name Homo sapiens (human). Its description in RNAcentral is "HSALNT0085768". Lineage: Eukaryota; Metazoa; Chordata; Mammalia; Primates; Hominidae. The record is from RNAcentral.
AUUCAGCUAUCCUGGGCUGAGGAUGUUAUGAUAUAUCAGAUUUAUCUCAAGAAGCUUCCACAAGAGAAGGACAACAAAGAAGGUGAUAGAUGAAACAAGUGUGAUGAAGCUAGAUAAUUGUAUCAUAAGGGUGGGUUUGCAGACAACUUAAAAUAGGCCAAAUUAUAUAAAACAGUAUUCAGUCAGACUUUUUUUAGUACUGGGGAAGUACCAGUGUUUAAAGUCUUUUAAACAUUUCUCUGACCACAACAGUAUUU